CAUUUCUGCAAGCCGCCUACCCCAAGGCCCAAGACGAGGGCCCAUUUCCACCUGUCCGUCAUCGGGAUCUGGUUCUGAAUCGGGAUCGAGGCAAGAUCGCAUCGCUGCCGUGUCGAGAGCAGCGACCUCCGGCUCCGGGCCGGAGAUUCGAGAGAUUUUGAGUAGCAGUGCAUAAUCAGGAGCCUUUCUCUACAUUUUUCCCCUAAAAUUGAGCUGCAUACAAGGUGACCGGCUGAACUUACGACGGUGGACAGAGUCAUUGCUUAUUUCGUCUCUUCUUUCCUGGUGGAGCGAGCAUGUGUUGGUUAAGAUUAUCUCCUCACUUUCCUUGUUUUGUUUGUUUCUUGGCUUCUCUUUGUGUUAUUUCAGCUGUGAGGCCUGGAGUCAGAUAUGCCGGCUGUCCAGCAUGCUGAUAGACCUGGAGCCUGGAGGUGGAGGAUGACGCUUUCCUGGCAUUCAAGCCAACAGAAUACUAUACCGUACAGUUCAAGAAGGGAGCACCUCUGAAUUCUAACCCUAAAGUCUUUAGUUAUUUAGCUUCAACUUUUGACUUUUUUUUUACCGUGCCUUGUUAAAUCUGACAAUUAUAGUGUGUUGUUUUUACUGACCGACUGCCAAUUGCGGCUUGAGUUUUCCACUUUUCCUUGUGCAGUAAUGAAGUGAGAAAUUCAAUUGCGCUCUUCGCAAGUUUUA
RNAcentral lists this long non-coding RNA (693 nucleotides) under Sorghum bicolor (sorghum). RNAcentral's name for it is "long non-coding RNA (SBIC_LNC000144)". Lineage: Eukaryota; Viridiplantae; Streptophyta; Magnoliopsida; Poales; Poaceae. The record is from RNAcentral.